RNAcentral lists this ribosomal RNA (420 nucleotides) under uncultured bacterium. RNAcentral describes it as "bacterial SSU rRNA". It matches the Rfam family "Bacterial small subunit ribosomal RNA", at positions 29 to 507 of the family's 1533-position model. The record is from RNAcentral.
AACGAACGCUGGCGGCAGGCCUAACACAUGCAAGUCGUGCGCGCCUUCGGGUGAGCGGCGACGGGUGAGUAACGCGUGGGAAUGUGCCCUUCUGUUGAGGAUAGCCCCGGGAAACUGGGAGUAAUACUCGAUACGCCCUACGGGGGAAGGAAGGAUCAGCCCGCGUCUGAUUAGGUAGUUGGUGGGGUAAUGGCCUACCAAGCCUACGAUCAGUAGCUGGUUUUUAGAGGAUGAUCAGCCACACUGGGACUGAGACACGGCCCAGACUCCUACGGGAGGCAGCAGUGGGGAAUCUUAGACAAUGGGGGCAACCCUGAUCUAGCCAUGCCGCGUGAGUGAUGAAGGCCUUAGGGUCGUAAAGCUCUUUCGCCAGGGAUGAUAAUGACAGUACCUGGUAAAGAAACCCCGGCUAACUCCGUG